ACUGAGUGGCAAACGGGUGAGUAUAAUGUGGGUAUCUACCCUUUGGCCUGGAAUAACACGAGGAAACUUGUGCUAAUACCGGAUAAGUCUUUACGGAGAAAGCUUUAUGCACCAUUGGAUGAGCCCGCACUUGAUUAGUUUGUUGGUAGGGUAAUGGCCUACCAAGACUAUGAUCAAUAGCUGAUUUGAGAGGAUGAUCAGCCACACUGGGACUGAGAUACAGCCCAGACUCC
Molecule: ribosomal RNA, 233 nt
Filed under: uncultured bacterium
Lineage: Bacteria
Description: partial 16S ribosomal RNA
Rfam family: Bacterial small subunit ribosomal RNA
Source: RNAcentral